This is a long non-coding RNA of Morone saxatilis (striped sea-bass), 2126 nucleotides long. RefSeq lists it as uncharacterized. The transcript is spliced from 4 exons. NCBI's taxonomy places the organism in Eukaryota, Metazoa, Chordata, Actinopteri, Moronidae. The record is from RefSeq and is a predicted model, not a curated record.
UCUUUCAUUGUUUGUCCCUAGCAAGUGGAAAUACCCUCCAGGUGUAGUGCGUGGGUUGGCAGGUGGAUCUUUAAAAGGCAUCUUGUGUUUUUCUGGAGUCAUUCACCGAUGUUCACAUCAGACAGAAGCUCUAUAAUUUAUCAAGCUCUUCGGGUUUCUGACACUGUGGAAGCUUCAGGAUGUCCUGCCUGUGGAUGUGUUUGAGUCUGCUCUACGCUGCUUCUUUUCCACAAAGUACAUUGCAGAAAGGAGUGUCACUGAAGUGCAACCAAACAGUGGUAGCUGAAGCUGGAGAAACGGUGACACUAAACUGCACUAUAUACAAUGAGUUGACAGAGGACUGUGAUCUCGUUAAUUAUUCCUGGAAUAACGCACACGGUGGACUGGAUUCUAACUCAACAUACACCUGUAAAUCGGAUAAUCGGACCUAUGUGUCACUGACCAUCUGGAAUGUUUCGAAAGAGGAAACUUACAGUGUUUUUAUAAUCACAAACUGUGGUGGGGAUAGCUCAUCUAUCAAAGUACUGCCUGAUAAUGUGAGAUCAGCAACAAAGCCUAAGCCCGGAACUGAGGAGCCUUCCAAAAUUCUUGUGACAACCGCCAUAUUGAGUGUUUUCAUCCCCAUGGUUGUUUUUGGCAUUUUGUGUAUGGUUGGAACUAAGAGAUGCAAAAACAUAAUCAGAACCAUCAAAACGGGAAAAUCUCACAGACCCCUCACACCGGAGUACUCGACGAGCUCUGAAAUUUUUGUUUAAGCAUCUGUUCAGUUAUUCCUCUCCACAGCUGGCUGGGUUCUUUUUUUUUUCUUCAUCUUUGUACAUAUUGAUAAAUGUGAAUAUGAUGAUUUGGUCUGGUUGAAGAGUACUACUCCAUUUGUGAAAACUGUUGUAUAAAGUCUUCUGUGGCUCUGAGGGCAGCUCUCUUAAUUCCAACAAUCCUUUAACAUUGUCAGACUCACAGUGGGCCGUUUUUUUUUUUUUGUUUUCUUUUUUUAAUAUAACAAUUGAUGCAACAGAACCAGAGAUAUCACCCCACCUCAUUCCACACAUACGUCUUCCAUGUCAAAACUUGGCAACCCACAAUGCAACUCAACCGCACACAGUAGUGCACACAGUGUAGCCUCUAGUCUGUGGCAGGAUGAGGAGUGGGCUACAGAGGUCUGCUAAGCUUACUCCUUUCAAACUCCACGCCCUCAGAUUAUUUUCAUUUUCAAACUUGUAACUCUGAUGUGUAAAAUCGACGUAGUUACCCUUUAAAGCAGCAACCAGGAGCUUUCAUUUUGUGGGGAAUCUUGCGGCCCCUGUGGACAUAAGUGAUAGUGUUUCUACCGCCUUGUUUCACUGAUUUCCUUCCAGUGGGAAUCCAACUGAAUCCGACCCAGUGGCAGGUAUUAAGAAUAACUACAUCGAAAUAAUUAAACUUCUCACUGAUGUUUGUUUACGUAGCUCAGUGGUUCUCAAACUUUUUCAUUAACGUACCCUAUUUGAAAUAUUUUUUUCAGCCCAGUACCCCCUCACCAGUGCAAAAAGAGGUAUAAUACAGCGCAACCAGAGAUCAAACUCUUUUUGAAUAUAAAAUCUAACGAACAUAGAUUUACAUUUUUAUUAAACUUAUUCUAGUAUCAUUAUUUUGAGAAUUUUGCAUGACUAAUAUUUUUUAAAUGAACAUAAAGAAAAAGAAAAUCUCACGCACCCCCUGCAGUACGCCUAUAGGGGUACGCAUACCCCCGUUUGAGGAACACUGAUCCAGGUCUUUAAACUGAGACUUGGAGACGACAAGAAACUGCAAUCAUCAUAACCUUUGAAACAUGGGCAUUUAUCAAGUAGCGGAAGACUAGUAAAAGACACUAUUGAGUUGCAUUGUGGGAAAUGUAGGAUAAAGAGACCUGCUGAUUUUUAUCACUUUUUUGAAUUUGCUACUAACAAGUCUACAACUUUAUGGGUGUGCAGUAAAAGGCCUUUCAAAGCCACUCAACGUAUUCUACAAAAAAAAGUAGAAAGUAACUGUGAUAUUGUUGACUGUAAAAUGAGUGUUUGAUAUAAUAUGCAGAAUAUACCGGGUGUGUAGAUUAUGACUAACUGAGCCAUGAGCAAUGGAACAUAUCUUUGAAUAAAGGGUUGUCACUA